GAAUGUUGUAAGUAAAUUCAGGGCUGAACAACAGACCAAAUGGGAGCCGUCCGAGCUGCCCACGUUACAGGUCUGAGGCUGGAUGGAGCUCAGAGCCUCCCUUCCCACCUGUCUGGGUCAGCCAGUGUGUGGGCAGCUGGCACUGCCCCCACCCCGUUCUUCUGGUCUGUGUGCAUGCAGCAGCUUUCACAGCCCCAAGCUCACCGCUUUUGGCCAGAACUGAAUUCACGUGUAAGCACCUACCAGGAAAAAAAGAAAUGUCUGACGCUGAGGAGACUGUAGCACCAAGGGGGCAUGGGAAGGAUGGGAGCACCGGGAGCAGAGCCCAGGAGGAUGCUCCCUUGCCCUGCUGGGUGCUGUUCCCAGUUCUCCCACUGCGCCUUAUGGCACGUUCAUCAGCAGGUGCAUCUGCAGACGUGUGCGGUCAGCCGUUCCAAGAAGGAAAUCACCAUCAGAGAUGCAGAGAAGAAUCAGCCUUUGGUAGGAAAUCACCUCAACUGCUCUCAAGUAGAAAAGGUGCUGCCCCGAGAGGAACCUUUCCGGUUUCGGUUUGCUGCAUUUUCUUCUGAAAAAGAGUGGAAAGUGAGAAGUCCUGGAAGAAUCUCCCAUGGGAAGGCAACGAUGCAGUUACCACUUCCAGCUCCUAUUUGUGCAGAUUUUAAUCAAAACUGCCCAUCAAAGGGGAAAAAAGGACCCCAGAGGCCUUUCUGUAAAUGUCCUCAUGGAACCAGUUGUACUCCUGUGCUUGUAAAUCUCCCCUCUGGCAGUAAGGGAGCAGUGAAUGCCCUGUGCUUCGUGUGGGAUCUGCAGCUAUCCUGUAAGGAAUGCUGCAGCGUUGGAACCGGGGAUGGGCUGCAGUAAGGACACAUUCCUAGGAGCCACAAAGGGUUUGCUGAUAGGGAUCAGGGGCCAUAUAGCCCCUGGCUGCGCUCCAGAGGUGACCACACCGUGGCUAGAGAAAUAAGACCCCCCAGCCCCAAAGCUGUCCAAGCCUGCUGUGAACUGUUUUCAGUAAACCUCAAAAGCCUGAUCUUCUGUACUGCUCCUGUUUACCUUGUCGCCAGUAAACUUCUUGCAUCCGAGACAUUAUUGAAUACCUGGCACACGGAGGCACCUCCUCCUCCCAUUUAUCCCUCUGCACUUUAUUUGCUCUCAUAUCCCUAUAGGUAGCAUUUCUUUACCAUCAGUGGAACAACCAAGUUGCCUCCUGCAGGGGAGUCCAGGUUCACGGUGUGUGCUCGGGGUUACUGAACAGCACCAGAGCUGUUAUUGGCUUCCAGUCAUGCAUGAGAAAACUAAUUGAAGUGCAGACAUUUGGUCUGUCCCACCCUUGAUACAUUACUUAUUUUUCCAGCUCUGAGCUGUUUACACAGCACCUGACAAAGCUGAACUGAAGCAACGGAUUGAGGGGCUGGGGAACGAUGCUGUUUGUAUGGUACUGGAGGAAUCAGGGUUAGCAGGGCACUGAAGGGAAACACUGCCAGUUCACAUACAGUGUACCACUGCCCCUUUAGCACAGCACAGAUUUCAUUAUCCAGGUGGAUAAUAGGAGGAAAGGGAGGGCUAACCUCUAGAAGCCAGAACACAGAUAAGCGAGCUUGCCAGUGUUAGGAGGGGGUGAGCUGGCUCGGACCAGGUACUUUAGGAAUCAGUUUGAAUCCCCUCCAAACCUUGUGUUUUUGGGCCCAGGCAGACAAAGCAAUGCAAUCUUUCAAGCGUUCUCUGUGUUGACACAAACUGCUAAGCUUUGUGCAUGCCAAGAUAAAAAGAGGCAGCUUCCACUAGUCCAUUAUUCAGUGCUAGACAGCUUGAUUAUGAUGGAAACAAAAGACACUUUUGCAAUAUUGACAUUGUGAUCUAU
Molecule: long non-coding RNA, 1861 nt
Organism: Numida meleagris (helmeted guineafowl)
Lineage: Eukaryota; Metazoa; Chordata; Aves; Galliformes; Numididae
Source: Ensembl